Molecule: non-coding RNA, 264 nt
Filed under: Cellulosilyticum lentocellum
Lineage: Bacteria; Bacillati; Bacillota; Clostridia; Lachnospirales; Cellulosilyticaceae
Description: Clostridium lentocellum T-box sequence
Rfam family: T-box leader
About the family: Uncharged tRNA acts as the effector for transcription antitermination of genes in the T-box leader family. T-boxes are found upstream of many aminoacyl-tRNA synthetase genes and some amino acid biosynthetic genes usually in Gram-positive bacteria. The anticodon of a specific tRNA base pairs to a specifier sequence within the T-box motif, and the NCCA acceptor tail of the tRNA base pairs to a conserved bulge in the T-box antiterminator hairpin.
Source: RNAcentral
UACAAAGCGUAGAAAAGAAGAAGUAGAAUAAGCUAGGCUAACAGAGAGUUCCCGGUAGGUGAGAGGGGCAAGAAGAUGCUUAUUUGAAUACAUCUUGGAGUGUUGCUUCAAACAAGUAUAAACUUAAGUAGAAGCAAACGGUAGUGCACCCGUUAUCGUGCUAGAGUAUAAUUAGCUUUGUGGCUAACGUACUUGAAGAGGUUAUUAUCGUGAGAUAAUAGCAAAAAAAGGUGGUAACGCGGGAUAUCAGCUCUCGUCCUUUAC